Long non-coding RNA from Oncorhynchus gorbuscha (pink salmon), 2164 nucleotides. RefSeq lists it as uncharacterized. The record is from RefSeq and is a predicted model, not a curated record. NCBI's taxonomy places the organism in Eukaryota, Metazoa, Chordata, Actinopteri, Salmoniformes, Salmonidae. The transcript has 3 exons.
UGAAAAACUAGUUUUAAUGACUCCAACCUACGCGUAUGUAAACUUCUGACUUCAACUGUAUAUUAUUAUUAUAUAUAUCUUUUUUUUUAAAUAUCGUUGACUGCGUGAGUGCAUUUAUAUACAGUUUCGGCCAAACAUAUUGGCACACAUGCACUUUUCUUAAAUAAGUCUCUAUUUCUUAUUUGUUUAUUCAGAUCCCCAUUAGAUUUUGCCAAAGCAGCAGCGUUUCUUCCUGAGGUCCACAAAACAUGACACGUAACGAAACAGUGAUAGACAACACACAUUUAAAAUACAACGAUAUACAAACAGUACUUCAACGAAAUAAUAAACAAUACAACUAAAACAUGUGUGUGUGUGUGUGUGUGUGUCCCCUUCUAAAAUAAGUUAAAAAAAUUAAACUUCUGGUCUUCACACCUGAUUAGAUUUUCAACAUUGCAAAUCCAAUUGUAUUUUUGUAAACUUAAGUUGACAAUUUUUUAAUUUAGAAAAUAAAAAGAAGUGGCAUGGACUAAAUUAGUGGCACUCCGGAGCUAAAACUUGGUUGCACAGCCUUUGUCCAAGGUAACUGCAGACAAACACGUCUUGUAGCAAGCAAUGAUGUAACCCACUGUUCAGCAGCAAACUACUCUAAAUCUUCAAUGCUUGAGGGGUUCCCCCAUCAACUGAUGUUUUCAGAUCUCUCCAUAGGUUUUGGAUGUGAUUCAAAUCUGGACUCUUGGCUGGCCACUCUGGAACAUUCCAGCAUCUCUUCUUGAACCAUUCCUGGGUGAUUUUUCAUGUUUGGGGUCGUUGUCCUGCUGGAAGACCCACAACAUUCAGUGGAGACCCAGGUUUUGGACACUGGGUUGAACAAAACACCUGAUAAUCUGCUGAUUUCAUGAUGCCUCGCACACGUUCAAGGCCCCCGGGACCAGAGACAGCAGAGCAACCCCACAGCAUUAUCAAAUCUCCCACAUGUCAGACAAGAGUCCGGAACUGAAUCGCAUCCAAAACCAAUGGCGAGAUCAGUAGUUGGAGGGAACCCCUCAAACAUUUAAGUAUUAGAACAAUUUGCUGCUGAAAAGUGGGCCAAAUGCCAGUAGAAAGUUGCAGCAAGCUCAUUGGUGGCUUCAAUAAGCAUUUGUCUGCAGUUAUCUUGGCCAAAGGCUGUCCAACCAUGUACUCGCUCCAGGGAGCCAAUUUAGGACCUGCCAUUUGUCUUUAUUUUCCUAAUCAAAAUUCUCAACCUAGGUUUACAAAAAUAAAAUUGUCUCUGCAAUGUCAAAUCCAAUAAAUGUUUUAUAUUUUUCCAUUUCAAUUUAUAUUAAAAAAAAGGGGGAAUAAUAUAGUGCAAGGGUGACAAUAUAUUUGGCUUCAACUGUGUAGUGUGUGUGUGUGUGUGUGUGUGUUUGCUUUGUCGUGGUCAACUAGUGUGAAAUUAUUCACUCACACGCACUGACCUACCCCAUGGACUGACCUCCAGGUACAUGCAGAAGUACUUAUCCGCUCUAACGUGUGUGUGGUGUGUCAGGUCUACAAGGGUUCGAUGCCAAGAUGGAGAGGCGGACAAAUAAGAUGAAGGGAAAACAGGAAGAGAGAUGAAGAUGAGGCAUGAAGAAAUCAGAAGGAAAUAUGGUCUCAGUGGGUUCAACCAGUACUCCAAAUUCUCUUGAUAUUUGAACACUGUACUGUAUCAACUGCCUGCCUUCUCUUCACCUCUGACCUUUCACACACACACACACACACACACACUUAUUGUCUGUUCUAUGCUCAGCUUACCCCUUUUUAAACCAUUCAUCAUAAAAGCCAAAACGGGUCGCCAAAUAUUGUGCACAACGUCACUUAUUUCGUAUAUGUUACGUCCUGCUAAAAAAAAAAAAAAUCCUGCAAUUUGUAUGAUGUUACGAAUUCCAAUUCGUACAAUAUGUUAUGAAUGUGUAAGUGCUUAAGAUCCCGUUUAAUCUCUUUAACUGUUUGAGGAGAAUACAUGAAACUGGCCUUAGAUCAAAGUUUUGGUACAACCUGUUUAUACAACAUUAUCUGCCCAUGUAACACAGGUCAUUAAACAUUGUGUUAAAUGCAAUGAACAAAGUAUUCUACGAAUGCUUAGCUAGAACAAGUUCUGCGCUGCUUGGUGAGUGGUGCAGUGCUGAACAUGUCUUGUAGUGCUGAACAUGUCUUGCAG